Molecule: ribosomal RNA, 342 nt
Filed under: Cortinarius sp. 11-59
Lineage: Eukaryota; Fungi; Basidiomycota; Agaricomycetes; Agaricales; Cortinariaceae
Description: eukaryotic LSU rRNA
Rfam family: 5.8S ribosomal RNA (bases 1-105)
Source: RNAcentral
GAAAUGCGAUAAGUAAUGUGAAUUGCAGAAUUCAGUGAAUCAUCGAAUCUUUGAACGCACCUUGCGCUCCUUGGUAUUCCGAGGAGCAUGCCUGUUUGAGUGUCAUUAAUAUAUCAAACCCUCAUCUUGUUUGUUGAGUGGUUUGGAUGUGGGGGUUUGUUGGCCUCGUAAAAAAGGGUUCAGCUCCUCUGAAAUGCAUUAGCAGAACAACCUGUGUUCAUUGGUGUGAUAACUAUCUACGCUAUUGAAUGUGUGGGGCAGUUCAGCUUUCUAACGGUCCUUUGGACAAAUAUUCAUCAUUUAUGUGACCUCAAAUCAGGUAGGACUACCCGCUGAACUUAA